UGUUCGUUAUUUAGGGCGCAUGGUGGAUGCCUUGGCAUGCUGAGCCGAUGAAGGACGUGUAAGGCUGCGUUAAGCCUCGGGGAGUUGUCAAUAAAGCGUUGAUCCGAGGAUGU
RNAcentral lists this ribosomal RNA (113 nucleotides) under Corynebacterium aurimucosum. RNAcentral describes it as "partial 23S ribosomal RNA". It matches the Rfam family "Bacterial large subunit ribosomal RNA", at positions 1 to 113 of the family's 2925-position model. The record is from RNAcentral. Lineage: Bacteria; Bacillati; Actinomycetota; Actinomycetes; Mycobacteriales; Corynebacteriaceae.